RNAcentral lists this long non-coding RNA (356 nucleotides) under Mus spretus (western wild mouse). Its description in RNAcentral is "predicted gene, 56044 (ENSMSPG00010009939.1)". It matches the Rfam family "HOXA transcript at the distal tip, conserved region 3". The record is from RNAcentral. Lineage: Eukaryota; Metazoa; Chordata; Mammalia; Rodentia; Muridae.
UUUGGGGGCGGUGUUUACAGACUGGACUGGUUCUUUUCUGUCGGCCGUCCUGCUCUUAGCUGGGUUUCUGAACCUCCGAAGUUUUCCAGCUAGGUUCGGAAAAAACGAAAAUACAGCUCAGGAACACCAGCCGAUGCCUAUGCCAGUUCACCUCUGGCAGUGGCUGUACUGCUGGUCCACACAGCAGCCAAGACCAGCUCCACGUUCUUUCCUCCCCCUCAUUUCACUGGAGCCGGGAGCCCUGCACUCAGGGGAAGGGCCUCAGCUCUACAGACUGCCAAAGUCGGCUGGGUCCCUCCGGCUCCAAAAAUGGUGAGAAAGGAACUCAUCUUUUUCCACAGAGGAAUCAGAAGCAG